ACCAACCGUCAAACAAGGGUGG
RNAcentral lists this small nuclear RNA (22 nucleotides) under Arabidopsis thaliana (thale cress). RNAcentral's name for it is "snRNA_02479". Lineage: Eukaryota; Viridiplantae; Streptophyta; Magnoliopsida; Brassicales; Brassicaceae. The record is from RNAcentral.